Molecule: non-coding RNA, 24 nt
Filed under: Arabidopsis thaliana (thale cress)
Lineage: Eukaryota; Viridiplantae; Streptophyta; Magnoliopsida; Brassicales; Brassicaceae
Source: RNAcentral
CCCACUGGCGUCCAACAUAACGGU